CUGACCUCGUGAUCCGCCCGCCUCGGCGUCCCAAAGUGCUAGGAUUACAGGCUUGAGCCACCGCGCCCAGCCGAUGAUGGUGUUUUUAAAGCCAACUUCUAAUACCUCUUUUUUCCAUUGCUUCAUUGCCAAGAGGAAUAAUUAGACUGUUGCAACAAUUAUGACAAAGGCGUCCUAUACCCUUGGUCUUCUUUCAUCCAUAGGGCAUCCAGAAGAGACCUGGUUUCUCUGUUGAUUGGAAGUUCACAUCAAAUUCCUUGACCCUGGGAUUAAACCUACAGUAAACAUGUGUAUUUUUGUGUUGCAGAUGCGUAUCAUAGAUGGAUAGUAAUGAAUACCAUUUAUUGAGCAUUUAUCAUGUGCGAAGUACUCUGCUUUCUUCUUCACAGGAUUCCCUUUAUUGAAGGUGGGAAUGAGGGGGAUUCUGGACUGCAGGCACAGGACAUCUGCCCUCCCACAGCAGCCUGAGAUGUUUUCUUCUUUGUGCAUGUUCCCCAUGAAGUGGGCUCAUACCCCUCCAUCAGUGUGCCUCCCCACCUCACCUGGAGCGUGGCUUCAGUGCCCCCACCGCCACCCCCAGCUUGUACUGCAGGGUUUUUUUUUAUCCUUUCUCUAAGCCAGUGAGAUAGGCACAGCUGAUAGUAUGAACCUUUCUAGCUAAGAGUCAGAUCAAGUGCUGGACAGAGACAUGACAAGUUCUCUCAAUUAAGCAAAAUGGUAUCUCGAGACAGGAUUUCAAUUCUAAUUUCAUAUUAAUAGCUUACAUUUAUUCAACAUUUAUUGUGUUCAAGUGCUGCUACAGUCCUUUUCACGCAGAAUCUUUUAACCCUCCAGAAUUGAACAGCAACAGCGCUAUUAUCCCUAUUUUACACUAAAGGAGCUGGCUCCCAGAGAGGUCAGGUCACCCGGUGGACGGAGCAAGAAUCCAAAUCAAGGCAUUCUUGACCACUAACCAAUACUUCUCCCCCUACCAUCAUCCCUGCCCCCACCCCUUUUUAUUUUACAAAGUUAACCCGUGUUUAUUAUGGAACAUCUUAACUCUGAUUUUUAGAAAUCUGCCUUCUGUCAAUAGCGCAAAAUAGAGUGUUUCAUUAGCCUCUUAAAAUGCCAGCAAUUGUAAUGUAUACAGAUGUGAACCUUCAUGGGAAGAGCGUGUCUUUAUGUUAGAGAAGAGUGAGUAAAGCUGCCCAGUUGAGGUCAUAUAUAUUGACUUAUCUGCAGGAAAUAUUCAUUUAGAUUUGAGAAGUUAUGAUUGUUAUCAGUCUCAUCCUUUAAAUUUAACUUUUAUUUUUUAUACUCAAUAUUUAGAUCAAAAUCUGUUGCAAAUCUGAAAGGAAGCUAUAAUCAUUUACUGUUAUCAAUAUACCUUUCUAGUAGCCUUAUACAUAAAUGCUCGAAUCUAGUCCUUCUCACACUUUAAUAUGCCUACAAACUACCUGGGAAGCUUAAUAAAAUGCAGGUAAUAGUUUAGGAGGUCUAGGCUGGGGCUUGUGAUUCUGCAUUUGUAAAAACUUCCCAGGUGAUGACCAAACUGCCUGGCCAGAAUCAAAUUUUCAUGAGCAAGUCUCUAAUCCACAUUAAUAUUCAAGAAAAAAAAAUUAAAUUCAAAAGUACAACUUUACAGCCUGGGCCUGAUGGCUCACAUCUGUAAUCCCAGCACUUUGGGAGGCCGAGGUGGGCAGAUCACCUGAGGUCAGGAGUUCGAAACCAGCCCGGCCAACAUGGUGAAACCCCAUCUCUACUAAAAAUACAAAAAUUAGUUGGGCAUGGUGGCACACGUUUGUAGUCCCAGCUACUUGGGAAGCUCAGGCAGGAGAAACUUGAACCCAGGAGGUAGAGUUCGCAGUGAGUAGAGAUCACACUGCUGCACUCCAAAGUGAGACUCCAUCUCAAAAAAAAAAAAAAAAAAGUAGAACUUUACAAACACUACAGUGCAUUUUCUAGAAAAUUUUUUCUAGGCCGGGCGCGGUGGCUCACGCCUGUAAUCCCAGCACUUUGGGAGGCAGAGGUGGGUGGAUCACGAGGUCAGGAGAUCAAGACCAUCCUGGCUAACACGGUGAAACCCCGUCUCUACUAAAAAUACAAAAAAAAUUAGCCGGGCGUAGUGGCGGGAGCCUGUAGUCCCAGCUACUCAGGAUGCUGAAGCAGAAGAAUGGCCUGAACCCGGCAGGCAGAGCUUGCAGUGAGCCGAGAUUGUGCCACUGCACUCCAGCCUGGGCGACAGAGCCAGACUCCGACUCAAAAAAAAAAAAAAAAGAAAAAGAAAAAUUUUUCUAAAUCUCCAUUGUUAAGAGAUCACUGUGAGGUAGGGUAGGGAGUGUGGGGAAAGAUUGGGGCCCCCAGGUUUGAAGAUCAGCUUGGUCUUGCCUGUGUGCAUGUAUCUGAUAAAAUGCAGGAAAAGUUUGUCUCUUCCCCACCCUCACUUCCACCCACUGUGAGGCUUGCUCAUGUCCAGAUUGGGCUCAGGAUGGCAGUUGUGGAUGCUCAGAGCACAAAAGGCUUCUUGUUUGCCCAAGGGCCUAUCAGUGUUUAAAUAGAACUGGCGGAAGCACAAGCACACCGUAUCAGCAGCUUAUCAGGGACCAUGGUUUUCCACGUACAUUUGCUAGGCACUUCAGUUUACCCAACUCCAUCAGCACUGAGUUAAAUUGCAAGGUUGGGCUGUACUACGCUGAGCCAGGGCAGGGAGAACAAGCCAGUUACUGGGGAUGAGGGUGUCGGGGGGGCCCUCAAGACCUUAUUUGCAUUCUGCCCACAUAGAGAAUAAAGCUGUGAUAGCCUGUGUACUAAGAGGCACCCAAAGAGAACCAGUCAGUCUUAGGAAUGCACCCGGAAGGUGGGAUGAGUCCAGGCCUCCCUAUGGUGGAAGUAGUUGGAGAUACCUCUUGUUACCCUGGUUUUCCAUCUUAGUUUACCAGGUGUAUAGUCAGUGCGGGUUAUGGUUAAAGGAGGUGUCAAUUGGGGGCCUGUUAAUGUCUUAAAAUUGUAUGCAAUUUUGGGGUUUGCAAAUGCGUCUGCGUGCAUAUUUCUCUGGCAGCUGACCUAUGAAUCAAAGGACUAAAUGUUCUUGUACUAUUCGGGCUGCAUCUUCUUUGAGGGUAAUCUUCAGGGCAGAUACAUGGGUAGCCUACUUUAGAAAUGAGGCCUUUGCAAUUAUAAUCACUCCUACUUUCUAAGCACUUGCUAUAUGCCAGGUGCUGUGCUAAAUGCUUUAUAAAUGUUAUCACAUUUAAUUCUCAGAAAAUCUUAUGAGAUAGGAAUUUUUAUUUCUAAAAGAGUUAUAAUUUGCCCAUGAUCACAGAGCUAAGUAAAUGAUAGAGCUAUGAUCGGAACUUCAACUUUCUGAUUCCAUGUCUGUUAGCACUGUGGAAGGCUGUCUUUGGCAUUUUAAUAUACUUAUCAAGUGUUUCAUAUACAUUGGUUAAUUUGUCCAACUGCCACAGAGUGGGAUGGGUGGCUCUUUUUCCUAAACUGUAGCCAUCUUUUCCCCAAAGUGUAGCCUUCAUGAAUUUUGCCCUAUUUAUAUAUCACCUAUGCUAUUAAGUUACCUACCAUUUAAAAUUUUUAAUUAAAUGUGUUAUUUCUUACCCUCAUUCCUAAAUAAUAGCCAUGGAAAAACCAUUGAUGUGCUAAUUUUUUUCUUGAAUCCACACUAAAAUAACUACAUAACCAUUAAAAUGAAAAAUGCAUUAGCCAGGUGUGGUGGUGCGUGCCUGUAGCCUCAGCUACUCGGGUGGCAGAGGAGAAGAAUCGCUUGAACCUGGAAGGCGGAGGUUGCAGUGAGCCGAGAUUUGCACCGCUGUACUCCAGCCUGGGCAACAGAGGGAGACUUCAUCUCAAAAAAAAAAAAAAAAAAAGCUAUGUUUUAAUACUACUUAAUAUCAUGUAGAGUGCCAUCAGUGUAUUGGUGCCAUGCUUUAAAAAACCCUAAUAUGUGAUUUAAAGACUACAUGUCUAUAUUGCAGCAGAAUUGUGGGUAAACUAAAAUACCCCCUCAUGCCACCCACCCCAGACAGCCCUUCUGGCACAGGGACAGGCUAGGGUCAUGGAGAGUGGUGCUAAGAGCAUCAGAGAGGAGGCUGGGUUUGACUCCAGGGAAGGCACUCUUAUGGUGGAGGCCAUGCCCUGUAUCUUUCAGGACCUGUUUUAGUUGCUCUAAUGAGGCAAUGAUGCCAAGAAAAAGAAUGUUGCUUAGCCCUCCUUGAGGGGGUUGAAGGAUUCCAGCGACUGGGGCAAGAAUCUGUGUUCUGUGUGCUCUUGCUGAAAGGAUAUUGCUGGGAUAUUGAGGGUUGUGGAUGAAGUAACCUUCCAGGGGCAGAAUUGUGCAGUAAGGUCCCUCAGCCUAGGAUGAAAAAGGCCUCUAACGAAAAGCCCACUUGUUCAUGUUUCCGUUUUAACUAAAUGUUCCUCUCUAAAUUCCAUACCCUCUGGGGCAUAAGCUGAAGGAAAAUUUGGAAUCUUAUUAUCUGAAAUUGUACGUGCAUUUGACCUAUAUUGCUAUGUCUUUAAUAAAAGCAUCUGAGGAAUAGUUCCUAAUUUAUUGACUCUCGGUUACUCCAAAAUAUGCCAAGACCCUCAGUAACGAAGCAUCCUCAUUAUCCUCCCCAAUAAAAUUGCAUUUUACAUAUUAAACUUUUUAAUCUUGGACCUUAACCAACUUUAUAAUUUGACAAUCCCUCUAACCAGCAAGUUAGAUAAAGAAGAGCAACAUACUCAUGCUCUGGAGAAUGUAAUCCUGGAGUCUGUCUUCUUUCACUU
RNAcentral lists this long non-coding RNA (4758 nucleotides) under Homo sapiens (human). RNAcentral describes it as "non-protein coding lnc-NDFIP1-1:1". Lineage: Eukaryota; Metazoa; Chordata; Mammalia; Primates; Hominidae. The record is from RNAcentral.